UAUACUUGAAGGAUGUCCUUGAAAUUUUCUUGGAAAAGCGUAGUAGCAUUGGCUCCUUUUAAGGCAGCAGAUUUCCACUGUGAUUUCUAAUAAAGCAAGGUUGUUUUAGGUGGAUUGAUGGCCAUAUAGCCAUUAAUAGUAACCCAGCCUGUAGCCCUAACCUAAACCAUUCAUCCAAUUAGUUGGCUUGAAUUAGCAAAUUUGAGGUCACACUGACCAUUUAUGUAGCCACAGAAAAUAAUACUGAGAGAUCCAAACCACCUUGUAUGAUGAGGAAACUGUGUGGUCUACCCCCACAACCCUGUAGGUAAAGCGCUCUGGACAAAACUCUACAGUUAAGUGUGGAAAUCUGAAAAAUAAAACCAAUUGCACUUACAUUGAACCAAUGUGAAAAAAAGGAAUGCUGGGGUAAAAAUAUAGUAUAUACCAUAUGUUUGAAUGUAACUUUCGCUCUGAAAAAGAAUUUUUUUUUUUAUAUGGAGACAAAAAUCACAUUUACCUUCAACAUUAUUUUUAUGUUUUAAAAUAUUAUUUUAAAAAUAAUUAAAUAUUGUUUUAAAAACCUCUAUUGUUUAGAUCAUCAUUCCAAAGUAGCCUAGCUAAGAUGACCAUAGGCAUCUUGGCACAGAAAGGUCCUCAACAAGGGAGAUAUUGGACCACCAUCUGAACACUUUCCCACUAUCUGGCUCUUUGAACACACAUAAAUCAAAUGGGAUACUUUCACUGAGAAUCCAUUAUUCAUGGUAUCUGGAUGUGGGCAAUGAGUCCAGAGGAUGUGUUAUUGCGGUGUCCUGUUCAAUUGCUAAAGCCAGAAUAGAAAAGAAAGGGCUGUGCAUAAUGUGUCUGUGGCCUGUCAGAUAAAAAAUAGAAAGAAAGAAAUGCAAAGCAGGGUUUAUGCUGAUAAAAGGCUCUGAAAAGCUGCAGGGGGAAAAACAUUCCAGGAAGUCUUACACAGAAACUUUUUAAAAGAACCACCCGUGCUGAGAUGCUCAAGAUGAAUGACUGAAUGAAUAAUUCCUUGGGACGGAAAUGAGCUUCUCAUCUGCAGUUAUUUACACUAUAAAUCCAAUGUUGGAGCAAGCUAACGCACAUACUAAGGUGACACAGGAAAAUGCCUGGAAACAUGCAUAAUUAUUUAUAAUUCAGAAUAAAAGCUGAUUGAAAAACAGAGACGUACGCAUAUAAAGAAAUGCUAAAAUAUACCGUAAACAACAAGACUUCCACCCUAAACCUAAAAGCACAGAAUAAUGAUCCAGGCACCAUGGGUGUGUCUGCUGUUGAUUUUAGCAGCACUGUCAAAGGAUUGGCACAGGAGCGCUGCGUUGGAGUAAUAAUUAAUUAGGCUAAAGAGAUUUCUUUGUUGAGUGUAGGAACUCAAAAAGCUUCGGAAAUCCAGCCUCCCCUAUAUAAUUCAUUUACUCUUCCCACACUUUCCUUUUGACUGUUAGUACAAGCUUGGAACUUUUCUCCCCAUGGGUUUCUCUUGAUUCCAGUAACUCUCUAUUGCUGGGCAGAUGGAGAGAGCGAUAAGCCAACUAGGCAUAUGGUCUUUUGACACACCACAAGUGCAGACAGAACACAGUGAUGAUGGAUGCUGUUGACUUGCCACUGACAGAGGACCUGUAUGGGCAGAGCAUUAAUUUCACAAGAAAUGCCUUAAGUUUGCUGUAUUUAAGCCCAUGACCUGAAGGACAGGGGUAAUAGUUGACCUAAUGACUAUAUGAAUAAACUAGUAACUUGAUAUCAGAAGAAAAUACAAUCAUAUUUUUUUGUAUCUUCUGAGAACUGUGAAAUAUAUCAAAUGUU
Molecule: long non-coding RNA, 1806 nt
Organism: Clarias gariepinus (North African catfish)
Lineage: Eukaryota; Metazoa; Chordata; Actinopteri; Siluriformes; Clariidae
Exons: 3
Source: RefSeq, a predicted model, not a curated record